UACGGGGGGGGCAAGCGUUGUUCGGAAUUACUGGGCGUAAAGGGCUCGUAGGCGGCCAACUAAGUCGGACGUGAAAUCCCUCGGCUUAACCGGGGAACUGCGUCUGAUACUGGAUGGCUUGAAUCCGGGAGAGGGAUGCGGAAUUCCAGGUGUAGCGGUGAAAUGCGUAGAUAUCUGGAGGAACACCGGUGGCGAAGGCGGCAUCCUGGACCGGCAUUGACGCUGAAUAGCGAAAGCCAGGGGAGCAAACGGG
RNAcentral lists this ribosomal RNA (253 nucleotides) under uncultured bacterium. RNAcentral describes it as "partial 16S ribosomal RNA". It matches the Rfam family "Bacterial small subunit ribosomal RNA", at positions 524 to 776 of the family's 1533-position model. The record is from RNAcentral.